GUUCCUACAGCAAUCACAGAAGAGAGACACCAGGAAGAGGAAGCCCGGAAGCCCUGGGGCAGCCUGGUCUGGCCCUGUGAGACUUAUGCUUUAACGAGGUUCAACCCCAGCCUACAGAAAUGGGAUUGUUUUUAAAAGAUCCUCUACAAAUCUAAUGAAAUGGUGAACAUUCAAGGAAACAACUGACAAGACUAAGUUUUGGCAGAUGCACAGCAACUGGAACUCUCAUACAUGGGGAAUGCAAGAUGGCACAAGCACUGUGGAAAAUAGUUUGCCAAUUUAUUAAAAGCUAAACAUGUAGUAGCAAACCAA
Long non-coding RNA from Cebus imitator (Panamanian white-faced capuchin), 312 nucleotides. RefSeq lists it as uncharacterized. Lineage: Eukaryota; Metazoa; Chordata; Mammalia; Primates; Cebidae. The transcript has 3 exons. The record is from RefSeq and is a predicted model, not a curated record.